RNAcentral lists this ribosomal RNA (586 nucleotides) under Cryptovalsa ampelina. RNAcentral's name for it is "eukaryotic LSU rRNA". It matches the Rfam family "Eukaryotic large subunit ribosomal RNA", at positions 40 to 647 of the family's 3401-position model. Lineage: Eukaryota; Fungi; Ascomycota; Sordariomycetes; Xylariales; Diatrypaceae. The record is from RNAcentral.
AUAUCAAUAAGCGGAGGAAAAGAAACCAACAGGGAUUGCCCUAGUAACGGCGAGUGAAGCGGCAACAGCUCAAAUUUGAAAUCUGGCCUUCGGGUCCGAGUUGUAAUUUGUAGAGGAUGCUUUUGGUGAAGUGCCUUCCGAGUUCCUUGGAACAGGACGCCUUAGAGGGUGAGAGCCCCGUACGGUUGGACACUGAGCCUCUGUAAAGCUCCUUCGACGAGUCGAGUAGUUUGGGAAUGCUGCUCUAAAUGGGAGGUAAAUUUCUUCUAAAGCUAAAUACCGGCCAGAGACCGAUAGCGCACAAGUAGAGUGAUCGAAAGAUGAAAAGUACUUUGAAAAGAGGGUUAAAUAGCACGUGAAAUUGUUGAAAGGGAAGCGUUUAUGACCAGACCUUUGCCGGGCGGAUCAUCUGGUGUUCUUCACCAGUGCACUUCGCCCGGCUUAGGCCAGCAUCGAUUUCUUUAGGGGGAUAAAGACCUAGGGAACGUAGCUCCCUACGGGGAGUGUUAUAGCCCUAGGUGUAAUACCUCUAGGGGGAUCGAGGUUCGCGCUUCGGCAAGGAUGCUGGCAUAAUGGUCAUCAACGA